This is a non-coding RNA of Cyanistes caeruleus (blue tit), 705 nucleotides long. The record is from RefSeq and is a predicted model, not a curated record. Lineage: Eukaryota; Metazoa; Chordata; Aves; Passeriformes; Paridae.
AUAAUUUCACGUGCCCUUUCUGCCACAGGUUGAUAAUAAAGGUCGGAAUUUCCUCCAUGUGGCUGUUCAGAACUCGGACAUCGAGAGCGUGCUGUUCCUGAUCAGCGUGCAGGCCAAUGUCAACUCUCGGGUCCAGGACGCCUCCAAACUGACCCCUCUGCACCUGGCAGUGCAGGCUGGCUCGGAGAUUAUUGUGCGCAAUCUGCUGCUUGCAGGUGCCCAGGUGAAUGAACUGACCAAGCACCGCCAGACUGCUCUUCACUUAGCAGCCCAGCAAGACCUGCCCACCAUUUGUUCAGUCCUUCUGGAGAAUGGAGUAGACUUUGCAGCUGUAGAUGAAAAUGGAAAUAAUGCUCUGCAUCUGGCAGUGAUGCAUGGCCGUCUGAACAACAUCCGGGUCCUCCUCACAGAGUGCAAUGUAGAUGCAGAAGCCUUUAAUAUCAGAGGCCAGUCACCAAUGCAUAUUCUGGGACAAUAUGGGAAAGAUAAUGCAGCAGCCAUCUGUGACCUCUUCUUGGAGUGUAUGCCAGAAUACCCUCUAGACAAACCUGAUGCUGAAGGAAACACAGGUAGGUGAGACUCAGCAGCUAUUAAACUUGGAAGUCACUUCAAUUGUAUUUGUGUUAUGUCACUUUUAAAGCUGGAAUAAUGGACAGUAGUAUGCUAAAUACAGUAGGAGGCACACAAUACAUGGAAACUUAAAAA